This 316-nucleotide small nuclear RNA is filed under the name Erinaceus europaeus (western European hedgehog). RNAcentral's name for it is "7SK RNA (ENSEEUG00000021449.1)". It matches the Rfam family "7SK RNA". From Rfam's summary of the family: 7SK was discovered as an abundant small nuclear RNA in the mid-70s but a possible function has only recently been suggested. Two independent studies have found that 7SK RNA binds the CDK9/cyclin T complex (known as elongation factor P-TEFb). The record is from RNAcentral. Lineage: Eukaryota; Metazoa; Chordata; Mammalia; Eulipotyphla; Erinaceidae.
AGAUGUGAGGGCGAUCUGGCUGCGACAUCUGUCACCUUGUUGAUUACCAGGGUUGAUUCGGCUGAUCUGGCUGGCUAGGCGGGUGUUCCCUUCCUCCCUCACCGCUCCAUGUGCGUCCCUCCACUGGAAGCUACCCACUCAGUGGAAGAGGACAACCUUCCCUGAAUAGAGACUAACUGGUCUUGGGUGGAGGAUAUACAAGUAGCCGUGCUCCCCUGCUAGAGCCUCCAAACAAGCUCUCAAGAAACAUACUCACAAUUAUCACAGUUGUUAAUUAAGAAAAAAAUAACUGCGAACAAUGCUGCUUUAGAAUUUU